RNAcentral lists this long non-coding RNA (2069 nucleotides) under Sus scrofa (pig). RNAcentral's name for it is "lncRNA (ENSSSCG00025063769.1)". Lineage: Eukaryota; Metazoa; Chordata; Mammalia; Artiodactyla; Suidae. The record is from RNAcentral.
UUUGUGAUAUCAAGAUGCAGCAGAGAACCAAAAUGUGCUGAAGUUAGUGCUAAAAAUUCCUACGGACCAUAAAGGUCAGGGGGAUGCCACCAAAGAGACAUAACCCAAUCACCCACAUGCCUGCAGUGGGCGGGGUCCAAGCUGAGGCCCAGCAGGGGGCUGUCGGGAAGCCAGAAAAAGGCCACCUCUUCCUCCCACCUGCUCAUUCCCUGGUCCACUCCUCAAGCCUCCAGACGUGCGGCUCGCCAGGGAGACUUGGCUGAAAUGGAAGGGGCUGCAAGUGUCCAGAGUCCUAGCCACGACGGACAGGCUGUCUGCCACAGGCAAGAUGGAAGAAUCUCCCCCAAGGAAGGCCAGUCUCUGAAAGAGAAGGGGGGCGAUCGCCAUUCCUCCGAAAGACGCAGAGAAAAAGGAAGCCUGGAGACCCGAGAGGGCUCUCGGAGCAAAGCAGUGCACACCAGGCACAAGCGGAGCAGAAGCCCCACUGGCUGUCCUGACAGGCGGGGCCUCCACAGCAAAGACAAGAAGAGGCAGGGACCACCCUCCCCAGCCCAGGCGAGAGCUAAGGACCGGUUUUUCUCCUCCAGAGCAGGACUUGACCGCAGAGGAGGUAGGUUUCUGGGCAGGCGCUUGGCACAGGUGGGGAUGUGGGUGCAGGGCCUGAGGGUCGCAACAAGCCCCCAGCAGGCAGGUAGGUGGGGAGACACGCUGCCCCUGGUGCGGGGCCCCUGGUGAGGGGCCCCUAAAGCCCUAACAGGCUGGGAGGAAGGCAUCCAGGUGUGGGCCCCGGUUCCCAGCAGAUCCUGGAAGGGGCCCCAGGGUCCGGUGCGGUGGAGAGUGGGUCGUGGGGGAAGGAGGGUUGGGAGUCUCCAUGGGGAAGAGGUUGUUGGUCGACCCUGACAAGGAAUCCCAGGGCGGGCGAGGGUGCAGCGCAUAUCACCUGAACUCCUCCCGCUCUGCCUCCCGCGCAGGUUCUGCCCACACGCCUCGGCGCCCGGCCCGGCCCGCCUCUCCCAAGCCUCGUCGCGGAUCCUCGUGUCCCGAAGCCCGCGUGCCCGCGGCGGCGCUCGCGUCCGAGCUCUGCAACCAGAUGGGCGCCCUGCAGGUGGCCCUGGGCGAGCUGCGGGCCCCGGGGGGCGCCUACCUGCCGGUGCCCUCCCGCUGCACGGAGCCCACGGCCUCGCAGCGCGCCUGGCUCGCCUGGCAGCUGGCGCACGCGGGCGCCGCCCUGCACUGGGCGCUGGCUGCGCUGGACUCCCUGCUCGCCGCGGGGCCCGUGCCCGCCCGCCCGCAGCCCUCCUGGCCCUGGGGGCCCUGGCCUUAGGGGCGCCAGCCCCACGCUCCCCGCCCAACUGCGGGCGGGUCCCUUCAGGCCUCUGAGCCAACCAGACUCUGCAUGUCGCCUUCCUCGCAGCAGCAUCUUGCACCCCGAGGUGAACGCGAGCUACCCCAACAGGGGACAGAAAUCCCCUUGUCCUUGGAGCCAGGUUCAGCCCGGGCCAGAGGAAGGCUCCUGCCUCAUCCCAGCUCAGGAACAUGGGUCCACGUUUCCAGAAGACAGCCUGCCAGGAGGAGCAUUCAGACAAAGACACUUCUUUUCUUCGGAGGCUCAGAUUGCCUGUCUUAGUGAUGUGAUAUGUGCCUUUUCACCAGUGUCCUCCUGUUGUCUUUGAAAAGUAGAAUGCCCUAUGCAUAUAUGGAUAGAUAGAUAGAUAGAUAGAUAGAUAGAUAGAUAGAUAGAUAGAUAGACAGACAGACAGAUAGAUAAAUAGAUAAUGAUAGAGAUUUAGUAAGAUGUGUAUAUUUUGUAUCUUGUUAGUGAUAUAGAGAUAUUACUGCCUUGGCCUCCACAGCAAGGAAUAAUUAUGUUUGGGGUUGUCACAAGAGAUAAGUUUUCUUCCAAGUGAAUGCUAGAACCUUCCUUUAGCAAGUCUCUAGGACAGAAGAACAAUCCAGAUUAUGUGAUGGAAUAUUGCAGUUUUUGGUUUUGAAAUUAAAGUCACGUGUUUCUUUAUUCUUGGAUCAUUAUGUUCUACAUGAGUCACAAUAAAAAUUUUUUUGAUAUUGCA